ACUUGAGGUCACAUUUUAGACUAAAACGCGAGGAGGGUUUACUUCUGAGGUAAAAUGUAAUACGAAAAACGUGAUGGGAAUGUACUUUUUCUGAGGUAAAAUCUGGUACUGAGCACGUGACGGAUGGUACUUCUGAGGUAACUUUUGAUACUAAAAACGUCACGGAUUGUACUUGAGGUCACAUUUUGGACUAAAACGUGAGGAGUGUUUACAUCUGAGGUAAAAUGUAAUACGAAAAACGUGAUGGGAAUGUACUUUUUCCGAGGUAAAAUCUGGUACUGAGCACGUGACGGAUGGUACUUCUGAGGUAACUUUUGAUACUAAAAACGUCACGGAUUGUACUUGAGGUCACAUUUUGGACUAAAACGUGAGGAGUGUUUACAUCUGAGGUAAAAUGUAAUACGAAAAACGUGAUGGGAAUGUACUUUCUGAGGUAAAAUCUGGUACUGAGCACGUGACGGAUGGUACUUCUGAGGUAACUUUUGAUACUAAAAACGUCACGGAUUGUACUUGAGGUCACAUUUUGGACUAAAACGUGAGGAGGGUUUACUUCUGAGGUAAAAUGUAAUACGAAAAACGUGAUGGGAAUGUACUUUUUCCGAGGUAAAAUCUGGUACUGAGCACGUGACCGAUGGUACUUCUGAGGUAAAAUGUAGUAACUCCAAUGUGUAACUGCACUUCUGAGUUAACAUUGGACAUAACACGUGAGAAUUUACUUCUGAGGUAAUUAGUUGGACUGAAACGUGAGGAGAGUACUUCUGAGGUAAAACUUAGUAACUAAAAUGCGAGACUACUUAAGUAAUAUUUCGUAGAGUACUAAAACGUGAGGAGAGUAAUUCUGAGGUAAAAUUUAGUACGAAAAACGUGAGCAGAAUGUAAUUCUGAGGUAAAAUGUUGGACUAAAACGUGAGAAUGUACUUCUGAAGUAAAAGUAGUAACUACAAUGCCAGACGACUUCUGAGGUAAUAUUUCGAGCACUAAAACGUGAGAGAGAGUGAACUUCUGAAGUAAAAAUUUAGUACAAAAAAAAUGUGAGAAUUUACUUCUGAGGUAAACAUUUAGGACAAAAAAAACGUUAGGAGAAUGUACUUCUGAGGUAAAAUUUAAUACAAAAAACGUGAGAAUUUACUUCUGAGGUAAACAUUUAGGACAAAAAAACGUGAGGAGAAUGUACUUCUGAGGUAACAUUUAAUACAAAAAACGCGAGAAUUUACUUCUGAGGUAAACAUUUAGGACCAAAAAAAAACGUGAGCAUGUUCUUGAGGUAAAAUUUAGUACAAAAAAACUUGAAAAUGUACUUCUGAGGUAAACAUUUAAGACAAAAAAAACGUUAGGAGAAUGUACUUCUGAGGUAACAUUUAGUACAAAAAACGUGAGAAUUUACUUCUGAGGUAAACAUUUAGGACCAAAAAAAACGUGAGCAUGUUCUUGAGGUAAAAUUUAGUACAAAAAACGUAAAAAUGUACUUCUGAGGUAAACAUUUAAGACAAAAAAAACGUGAGGAGAAUGUACUUCUGAGGUAACAUUUAGUACAAAAAACGUGAGAAUUUAUUUCUGAGGUAAACAUUUAGGACCAAAAAAACGUUAGGAGAAUGUACUUCUGAGGUAACAUUUAAUACAAAAAACGUGAGAAUUUACUUUCAUUUAGGACCAAAAAAAAACGUGAGCAUGUUCUUGAGGUAAAAUUUAGUACAAAAAACGUGAGAAUUUACUUCUGAGGUAAACAUUUAGGACCAAAAAAACGUUAGAAUGUACUUCUGAGGUAACAUUUAAU
This is a non-coding RNA of Petromyzon marinus (sea lamprey), 1774 nucleotides long. The record is from RefSeq and is a predicted model, not a curated record. Lineage: Eukaryota; Metazoa; Chordata; Hyperoartia; Petromyzontiformes; Petromyzontidae.